GAUGAACGCUGGCUACAGGCUUAACACAUGCAAGUCGAGGGGAAACGACGGGGAAGCUUGCUUCCCCGGGCGUCGACCGGCGCACGGGUGAGUAACGCGUAUCCAACCUGCCUCUGACUGAGGGAUAACCCGUCGAAAGUCGGCCUAAUACCUCAUGGUAUCGUCUGCGGGCAUCCAACGACGAUUAAAGAUUUCAUCGGUCAGGGAGGGGGAUGCGUCUGAUUAGCUUGUUGGCGGGGUAACGGCCCACCAAGGCUACGAUCAGUAGGGGUUCUGAGAGGAAGGUCCCCCACAUUGGAACUGAGACACGGUCCAAACUCCUACGGGAGGCAGCAGUGAGGAAUAUUGGUCACUGGGCGAGGGCCUGAACCAGCCAAGUAGCGUGCAGGAAGACGGCCCUAUGGGUUGUAAACUGCUUUUAUGCGGGGAUAAAGUGAGGGACGUGUCCCUCAUUGCAGGUACCGCAUGAAUAAGGACCGGCUAAUUCCGUG
RNAcentral lists this ribosomal RNA (491 nucleotides) under uncultured bacterium. RNAcentral describes it as "partial 16S ribosomal RNA". It matches the Rfam family "Bacterial small subunit ribosomal RNA", at positions 28 to 507 of the family's 1533-position model. The record is from RNAcentral.